CCAACGUGGUACAAAGCCCAUCAGUUAUACCGUUAAUGUUCACAUCUGGCAGUUCACAACAAAUGAAGACCAAAACGGUCAGGCUGGCUGACAGUGAUGUACAAAAUCAGUGCCGCUCUGGCAGUCCUGUGCAGAACUGGCUACAGAAUAGACUGACCUGAGACCUUGGAGCCAAAUUCACUCUGUGUUUAAAUUCACUGAGCUAAACCACUAGACACAAUCAGUCUUAAUGUUCUUAAAAUGCGAUUGCCUCGUCUUCGAGCAGUCAGUUUCCUUGGGGACAAAAAGAAAAUGUGACACUGUCCUCCAAUGACAAUGACAGACACCGUCCUUCCAUUGCUGCCGUUCCGGACACGGUCAGGCUGCUUCUAUCAGAUACACAGGCAAAGAAACAGAGAGCGGUGUUAAAUCUCAGCUGCGUGUGAGAAAGCAAACAAAGCAGGAAUGACAAACAGGUAUUUCUGCCUGGUGAAACACAGACCUGCAGCCUCCCACCCGCUCUCAGGUUACCGAGGGGAUGACGAUGAGUACCAAUACUGCAUUGUAUCAGGGAUUGCAUAUACUUUCUAUAUUUACUCUCUAACAGCAGGUUUAUACUUUGCAAACUAUUCCACAAAAGGAAAGCCUGUGGGUUAUUCACCAGUGAUAAACAUUGACACAAACAGAUCACGUACGAAACCAAAGGGUUUGGGCUGCAAUACCCCAUCACACAAAGAGUUUUUCUACUUCUGCUUUCGGUAUGUUCAAGUGCUAUAAAGUCACCUUCUAUCACAUAUAAACUAAAUACAAAGGAAACACAACAGCUCUCGGGUGGUAACGGACUACUUCGGGUAUAUAUCGAAGUUCAAGUAAUGACCAGCAAAGUUUGUUUUCAGGAACAAAACAACACAGCAGUUUGAGGCGAGACCACCAGCAGAGAGCUGUCGGAGGACUACAGGAACAGACACCGAUAGAAAUGGGACGGGAUCUCCACACUAAGGCACGAGAGAAUUCAUACUCGAGUAUGGCUAAAACCUUAUUUCCUACAGCAUUGAGUGAGCGGGGUCACAGGGAGUGCUCCUACGCUCCAAACACUCGGCUACGACAUCGGAAUUCCAGCUUUUUGGAACAGUC
Molecule: long non-coding RNA, 1113 nt
Filed under: Gallus gallus (chicken)
Lineage: Eukaryota; Metazoa; Chordata; Aves; Galliformes; Phasianidae
Description: long non-coding RNA NONGGAT004875
Source: RNAcentral